Molecule: unclassified non-coding RNA, 496 nt
Filed under: Hevea brasiliensis (rubber tree)
Lineage: Eukaryota; Viridiplantae; Streptophyta; Magnoliopsida; Malpighiales; Euphorbiaceae
Source: RNAcentral
AAAAGGGUUAGAAAAAGAAAGAAAAAAAAGGGUUACAUAUGCUUUUUUCCUUGCUGAUGUCAUGUAACUAAAUGAUGCUAGUGUGACCUUGGAUCCAAAGGUAUCCUGCAAAUUCUGGUCUUUCUGCUUUAUGUAAUAAUUAUGUUUCUUAUCAAUAUCAAUAGUUUCUUGUAUAUUUUCUUGUCAAACCUGGGAAUGAUUCAGCAUAAGCUUUGCUUAGAUGAUAAUUAUUUUCUACAUAUAUUAAUAAUAAGUGAGAAAUAUGAUAUUGGAGCUAUUUCCCAAUGAUCUGUUCAUCAAAUUAAAUCCAAUUUGUUGUUAUCUGGAUAUCCAGACUCCAGAGGUUAUAGUCCUGUAUCCUUUUUUAUUGAAACCUCAACAUUGUUUCUAAGAAUAAACAUAUAAGCAGUAAUUAAUUAUAUAAAUAUUUUUCUGUGCAACAUAUGUGCUACUUUUCUUGUAUGAUAACACAAAUAUUAUUCCAGGUUGAUUCUGU